RNAcentral lists this ribosomal RNA (468 nucleotides) under uncultured bacterium. RNAcentral describes it as "partial 16S ribosomal RNA". It matches the Rfam family "Bacterial small subunit ribosomal RNA", at positions 28 to 507 of the family's 1533-position model. The record is from RNAcentral.
GACGAACGCUGGCGGCGUGCUUAACACAUGCAAGUCGAACGGAAAGGCCCUGCUUUUGUGGGGUGCUCGAGUGGCGAACGGGUGAGUAACACGUGAGUAACCUGCCCUUGACUUUGGGAUAACUUCAGGAAACUGGGGCUAAUACCGGAUAGGAGCUCCUGCUGCAUGGUGGGGGUUGGAAAGUUUCGGCGGUUGGGGAUGGACUCGCGGCUUAUCAGCUUGUUGGUGGGGUAGUGGCUUACCAAGGCUUUGACGGGUAGCCGGCCUGAGUGGGUGACCGGCCACAUUGGGACUGAGAUACGGCCCAGACUCCUACGGGAGGCAGCAGUGGGGAAUAUUGCACAAUGGGCGGAAGCCUGAUGCAGCAACGCCGUGUGCGGGAUGACGGCCUUCGGGUUGUAAACCGCUUUCGCCUGUGACGAAGCGUGAGUGACGGUAAUGGGUAAAGAAGCACCGGCUAACUACGUG